RNAcentral lists this ribosomal RNA (478 nucleotides) under uncultured bacterium. RNAcentral's name for it is "partial 16S ribosomal RNA". It matches the Rfam family "Bacterial small subunit ribosomal RNA", at positions 28 to 523 of the family's 1533-position model. The record is from RNAcentral.
GACGAACGCUGGCGGCGUGCUUAACACAUGCAAGUCGAACGGUAAGGCCCUUCGGGGUACACGAGUGGCGAACGGGUGAGUAACACGUGGGUGAUCUGCCCUGCACUUCGGGAUAAGCCUGGGAAACUGGGUAUAAUACCGGAUAGGACUCCUGGCUUCAUGGUUGGGGGUGGAAAGCUGUUGCGGUGUGGGAUGGGCCCGCGGCCUAUCAGCUUGUUGGUGGGGUAAUGGCCUACCAAGGCGACGACGGGUAGCCGGCCUGAGAGGGUGACCGGUCACACUGGGACUGAGAUACGGCCCAGACUCCUACGGGAGGCAGCAGUGGGGAAUAUUGCACAAUGGGCGCAAGCCUGAUGCAGCGACGCCGCGUGAGGGAUGACGGCCUUCGGGUUGUAAACCUCUUUCAGCUAUGACGAAGCGCAAGUGACGGUAGUAGCAGAAGAAGGACCGGCCAACUACGUGCCAGCCGCCGCGGUAA